Molecule: small RNA, 27 nt
Filed under: Bombyx mori (domestic silkworm)
Lineage: Eukaryota; Metazoa; Arthropoda; Insecta; Lepidoptera; Bombycidae
Description: ovarian small RNA-19058
Source: RNAcentral
UAACUUCAUGGUGAGAAUCCGUUCGGA